Long non-coding RNA from Gekko japonicus, 259 nucleotides. RefSeq lists it as uncharacterized. The record is from RefSeq and is a predicted model, not a curated record. NCBI's taxonomy places the organism in Eukaryota, Metazoa, Chordata, Lepidosauria, Squamata, Gekkonidae. The transcript has 3 exons.
UCUUUUUGUUUAUGAAGGGGCCAAGGAAGUCGUCUAUCCUUAUCCAUGAAUUGUCCAGAUUCAUCUAUGACAGAAGCAGAAAUCUGGACAAUCAGUAGAACUACUGACCACCAGUUAUGGAGAGGAGUAUUUUAGGAAGAUACAGAGACUGCAGAGAAGCAAAGCAGACUAGUAGAGAAUGAGAUACCCACAGCUCCAAGAAUCCUGGACUGAGGAUACCUUAAUAAAGCCUUUUCCUGUAUGAUCCCCCCACCCCGUU